AACUGAAGAGUUUGAUCAUGGCUCAGAUUGAACGCUGGCGGCAGGCUUAACACAUGCAAGUCGAGCGGGCGAGGUUGCUUCGGUAACUGAGCUAGCGGCGGACGGGUGAGUAAUGCUUAGGAAUCUGCCUAUUAGUGGGGGACAACAUUCCGAAAGGAAUGCUAAUACCGCAUACGCCCUACGGGGGAAAGCAGGGGAUCUUCGGACCUUGCGC
This 214-nucleotide ribosomal RNA is filed under the name Kaistia algarum. RNAcentral's name for it is "partial 16S ribosomal RNA". It matches the Rfam family "Bacterial small subunit ribosomal RNA", at positions 1 to 218 of the family's 1533-position model. The record is from RNAcentral. Lineage: Bacteria; Pseudomonadati; Pseudomonadota; Alphaproteobacteria; Hyphomicrobiales; Kaistiaceae.